This 3588-nucleotide ribosomal RNA is filed under the name Oceanivirga miroungae. RNAcentral describes it as "partial contains 16S ribosomal RNA, 16S-23S ribosomal RNA intergenic spacer, and 23S ribosomal RNA". The stretch from base 1630 to 3588 matches the Rfam family "Bacterial large subunit ribosomal RNA", at positions 1 to 1948 of the family's 2925-position model. Lineage: Bacteria; Fusobacteriati; Fusobacteriota; Fusobacteriia; Fusobacteriales; Leptotrichiaceae. The record is from RNAcentral.
UGGCUCAGGAUAAACGCUGACAGAAUGCUUAACACAUGCAAGUCGAUGAGCUAAGUAAGCUUGCUUACAAGGCACAUGGCGGACGGGUGAGUAACGCGUAAAGAACUUACCCACUAGACUGGGAUAACAGAGAGAAAUUUCUGAUAAAACCGGAUAAGUUAGUAGUAGGCAUCUACUGCAAAUGAAAAAGAGAUUACUAGUGGAGAGCUUUGCGUCCUAUUAGCUAGUUGGUGGGGUAAAGGCCUACCAAGGCGAUGAUAGGUAGCCGGCCUGAGAGGGUGAACGGCCACAAGGGGACUGAGAUACGGCCCUUACUCCUACGGGAGGCAGCAGUGGGGAAUAUUGGACAAUGGAGGUAACUCUGAUCCAGCAAUUCUGUGUGUGCGAUGACGGUCUUCGGAUUGUAAAGCACUUUUAGUUGGGAAGAAAAAAAUGACGGUACCAACAGAAGAAGCGACGGCUAAAUACGUGCCAGCAGCCGCGGUAAUACGUAUGUCGCUAGCGUUAUCCGGAAUUAUUGGGCUUAAAGGGCAUCUAGGCGGCAAAACAAGUUGAAGGUGAAAAGCUGUGGCUCAACCAUAGUCUUGCCUACAAAACUGUAAUGCUAGAGUACUGGAAAGGUGGGUGGAACUACACGAGUAGAGGUGAAAUUCGUAGAUAUGUGUAGGAAUGCCGAUGAUGAAGAUAACUCACUGGACAGAAACUGACGCUGAAGUGCGAAAGCUAGGGGAGCAAACAGGAUUAGAUACCCUGGUAGUCCUAGCUGUAAACGAUGAUCACUGGGUGUGGGGAGUCAAAUCUCUGUGCCGAAGCAAAAGCGAUAAGUGAUCCGCCUGGGGAGUACGUUCGCAAGAAUGAAACUCAAAGGAAUUGACGGGGGCCCGCACAAGUGGUGGAGCAUGUGGUUUAAUUCGACGCUACGCGAGGAACCUUACCAGAUCUUGACAUCUACGGAAGACAAAGGAGACUUUGUUGUGCCUUAUAGGAACCGUAAGACAGGUGGUGCAUGGCUGUCGACAGCUCGUGUUGUGAGAUGUUGGGUUAAGUCCCGCAACGAGCGAAACCCCUAUCAUUAGUUGCCAUCAUUAAGUUGGGGACUCUAAUGAAACUGCUAGCGAAGAGCUAGAGGAAGGUGGGGAUGACGUCAAGUCAUCAUGCCCCUUAUGAUCUGGGCUACACACGUGCUACAAUGGGUAGUACAAUGAGAAGCAAGAUGGCGACAUUAAGCAAAACUCAAAAGCUACUCUUAGUUCGGAUUGGAGUCUGCAACUCGACUCCAUGAAGUUGGAAUCACUAGUAAUCGUGAAUCAGCAAUAUCACGGUGAAUACGUUCUCGGGCCUUGUACACACCGCCCGUCACACCACGAGAGUUGUUUGCACCUGAAGUUACUGGCCUAACUGUAAAGAGGGAAGUACCUAAGGUGUGAAUAGUGAUUGGGGUGAAGUCGUAACAAGGUAUCCGUACCGGAAGGUGCGGAUGGAUCACCUCCUUUCUAAGGAGAAAUGAAAAGACUUCUUAUCUUGUUUGCAAAUUAUCUUUAAAUUAAAAAAAUAGGACAAUGAGAAAUGAAUAGUAGGUAAAAUAUUACAACUUUAACAAAAGAGAUAGAUAGAGUUAAAAAGAGAAAGAGAAAGCUAAAUAAGGGCGUACGGAGGAUGCCUAGCUAGUAAAAGCCGAAGAAGGACGUGAUAAGCUGCGAAAAGCUUAGGGGAGUCGCAUAUAGACAUAGAUCCUAAGAUAUCCGAAUGGGAGAACCUGUAUAUUAGAAGAAUAUACACGAAAGAGGUAAGCCUGUGAACUGAAACAUCUAAGUAACAGGAGGAAAAGAAAGUAAAAACGAUUUUCUAAGUAGCGGCGAGCGAACGGGAAAGAGCCUAAACCAUAGUAGUGCCAAGAGGGUAUCGUUGCUAUUAUGGGGUAGAGGGUAUAUAUUAGUCAAUUACCAUAAGACAGUAUGAGUAUACUACGAAGCAGAACAUAACUGGAAAGUUAGACCAAAGAAGGUGAUAGUCCUGUAGGGCGUAAAUAGUAUAUGAGUAUAUAUAUAACCCGAGUAGCAUCAAGCACGAGGAAUUUGGUGUGAAUCAGUGUGGACCAUAUCACAUAAGGCUAAAUACUUUUACUAAGCGAUAGUGGAGAGUACCGUGAGGGAAAGGUGAAAAGAACCCUGAGUAAGGGAGUGAAAUAGAAUUUGAAACCGUACGCUUACAAGCGGUAGGAGCCCUAAGGGGUGACUGCGUGGAUUUUGGUUAAUCAUCCUGCGAGUUAUGAUAUAUGGCGAGGUUAAGUAAAGCGGAGCCGAAGGGAAACCGAGUCUUAAAAGGGCGAUAGUCGUAUGUUAUAGACGCGAAACCUAGUGAUCUAUGCCUGACCAAGUUGAAGCAAAGGUAAGACUUUGUGGAGGACUGAACUCACCGCCGUUGAAAUGAUGGGAGAUGAGUUAGGUAUAGGGGUGAAAAGCCAAUCGAACUAGGAGAUAGCUCGUUCUCUCCGAAAUGCAUUUAGGUGCAGCCUUAAUAGAAGAUAUGUGGGGGUAGAGCACUGUUUGACCUAGCGGGCGUAUAGCUUAGUGAAGUCAUGCAAACUACGAAUACCAUAUAUUAAUAAUUAGGAGUGAGACUAUGGAUGAUAAGGUCCAUGGUCGAGAGGGGAAAAGCCCAGACCAACAGCUAAGGUCCCAAAUUAUGUCUAAGUGGGAAAGGAGGUGGAUAUUCAGAAACAACCAGGAGGUUGGCUUAGAAGCAGCCAUACCUUGAAAGAGUGCGUAACAGCUCACUGGUCGAGAGUAUCUGCGCCGAAGAUUUAACGGGGCUAAGACAUAAACCGAAGCUUUGGAACAUAUGUAAAUAUGUUGGUAGGAGAGCGUUCUGUAAGCUGUAGAAGGAGAGUUGAAAGACGAUCUGGAGGUAUCAGAAGUGAGAAUGCAGGAAUGAGUAGCGAGAAAGUAUGUGAGAAUCAUACUGGCCGGAAGUCCAAGGAUUCCACGGCAAUGUUUGUCAGCCGUGGGGGAGUCGGGACCUAAGUGAAGACAGGGAUGUCAUAGCGAAUGGAAAAUAGGUUAAUAUUCCUAUACCACUAAAUCAACGAUUGAAGGGAUGGAGUGACGCAGGAAGGUAUGUGAGAUAACUGACGGAAUAGUUAUUCUAAGCCAAUAGCGUGAUUAUAUAGGCAAAUCCGUAUAAUUAAACGUGAAAGGUGAUGGGUAAGCACAAUAAGUGUAAGUCACAGAUCCUACACUGCCGAGAAAAACUUCUACUGAGGAGAUUAAGUGCCCGUACCGUAAACCGACACAGGUGGACAGGGUGAGAAACCUAAGGCCGACAGGAUAACUCUAGCUAAGGAACUCUGCAAAAUAGCCCCGUAACUUCGGGAGAAGGGGUGCCUAUGGUAAGUGAGAAGAUAAGUACUUCGAAGCUGAGAUAGGCCGCAGUGAAGAGUCCCAAGCAACUGUUUACCAAAAACACAGGUCUAUGCUAAGCCGGAAGGCGACGUAUAUGGGCUGACACCUGCCCAGUGCCGGAAGGUUAAGAGGAGGAUUGAGAGAUUCGAAUUGAAGCCCCGGUGAACGGCGGCCGUAACUAUAACGG